AAGCUUACACAUGCAAGUCGAGCGGUAAGGCCCUUUCGGGGGUACACGAGCGGCGAACGGGUGAGUAACACGUGGGUGACCUGCCUCUAGCUCUGGGAUAAGCCUGGGAAGCUGGGUCUAAUACCGGAUAUGACCUCGCGGUGCAUGUUGCGGGGUGGAAAGCCUUGUGUGGCUAGAGAUGGGCCCGCGGCCUAUCAGCUUGUUGGUGGGGUGAUGGCCUACCAAGGCGACGACGGGUAGCCGGCCUGAGAGGGCGACCGGCCACACUGGGACUGAGACACGGCCCAAACUCCUACGGGAGGCAGCAGUGGGGAAUCUUGCGCAAUGGGCGAAAGCCUGACGCAGCGACGCCGCGUGAGGGAUGACGGCCUUCGGGUUGUAAACCUCUUUCAGCCCUGACGAAGCGAGAGUGACGGUAGGGGCAGAAGAAGCACCGGCCAACUACGUGCCAGCAGCCGCGGUAAUACGUAGGGUGCAAGCGUUGUCCGGAAUUAUUGGGCGUAAAGAGCUCGUAGGCGGUCUGUCGCGUCGGCUGUGAAAACUCGGGGCUCAACUCCGAGCUUGCAGUCGAUACGGGCAGGCUAGAGUGCGGCAGGGGAGACUGGAAUUCCUGGUGUAGCGGUGAAAUGCGCAGAUAUCAGGAGGAACACCGGUGGCGAAGGCGGGUCUCUGGGCCGAUACUGACGCUGAGGAGCGAAAGCGUGGGGAGCGAACAGGAUUAGAUACCCUGGUAGUCCACGCCGUAAACGUUGGGCGCUAGGGUGUGGGAUCCCUU
RNAcentral lists this ribosomal RNA (775 nucleotides) under uncultured bacterium. Its description in RNAcentral is "bacterial SSU rRNA". It matches the Rfam family "Bacterial small subunit ribosomal RNA", at positions 44 to 834 of the family's 1533-position model. The record is from RNAcentral.